Long non-coding RNA from Dreissena polymorpha, 2094 nucleotides. RefSeq lists it as uncharacterized. The transcript is spliced from 3 exons. Lineage: Eukaryota; Metazoa; Mollusca; Bivalvia; Myida; Dreissenidae. The record is from RefSeq and is a predicted model, not a curated record.
UAAACAAAAACUAAUUUCAUAUCGAAAAAUAGUUAUUUACGGUGUAGAAAUAAAAAUAUACCGAUCAAAAUCCGACCAAAAUAUUGCGAAAUCCUGACUCGUGAAAUAAGACGUUUUUUAGAAGACAGGGAAUGGUCUGAUUAAUAAUUAACGCCUGCGGCUAUGUCUCUGACAAGAUCAGACGGCUGUGCUCAGGCAAGAGUGGAGAGGAAGGGGAAGUGAAGGGCAUAUCCGAGAGGAAGUGUGUCCUUAGCAACGGAAAAGGUGGCCAUGGCAAAUCUGCCCAAAAUGUGUCGCCUGGCAAGGAGAAGAAUGGUUUCAUAGAUGAUGGACCACCACCACCUUAUCAUUCAUCUUAAGACACCUCAAACCAAAACCCCAGAUGUAUCUAUUAUCAAAAGAACAAAUGUUUACUGAUAAAAUCAUUUAUGUGCCAAUUUCAUGAACCAAGCAUCAUUUGCUUUGUAUUUUAGAAAUAAAAUCACUGCUCAUAGCCAAUUUUAAACUUAUCCUAGUGGUGUCUCUUUUUUGCCUUAAAGCGAAAUUAUAUGAUUUUUAUAUGUGUAAAAUUGUAAUAUAUUGAUAAAAAUAUGUUACAAUAACACAAAAUAGGUAAGAAAAAUUAUACACUGAAGAUAAAUUUCAUAAAUGCAUCAAAGACAAAUUAGUGCACUGAGCUGUUAAGACGAAGAUAUUUUGUACAUAUAUUCCUACAAUAACUGAAGCAUUCGUCUUUUUAUUAGGAUCAGAGUUAGUGUUUGUGUGUUGAUGAAUAGAUAUCGUUGCAGGACUUUAAAAUUGUCUGUUAAACUAAAUUUAGAAUCACAUCGUACAUUCAUGAUAUACAUGCUGGCGAAUUCUACUGUACAGACAUUUUCGAUUUCAGAAUUAAAUAUCUGGCUUAUUUCGCAUUUUCCGACACAUGUUCGUCUUCACUUUUAUUUAAAUUUAUAUUGAAAUAUAUGUAUAAUAAGUUUUUUACAAAUUUUAUAUAAAUUCAUAAAUAUUUGACAAAAUCGUAUAAUCUCGCUUUAAUUAAAUUUUCAAUUGUUAAUGGAAAAUGAAUGAUAUAGAAGAUUAUAAAAUAAUGCUUUUUAAAUCCAGUUAGUUAUGAUUUCCUGUAUUUGUGUUAGUAUUGGCAAAAAGCAGUAUGAUUAUCUACUGCUUGAAGCAAAUAUUUGUGUAAAUGUAGAAGGUUUUUAAAACAUCGGUAUUAUUAUCGUCUUCUUAAAGCAUACUAAAUGAUAUUUUUAAAACUCUUUAAACCAGCGAUGAUAAAUUUCAACUUAGGGCACCCGUCUUUUAGUUGAAUGAUACCUUUAAAAUAAUAAUAUUCAAAACAAUAUUUGACAUAAAUAGCUUGCAGAAAACUCUGACAAAAUACAUGAAAUGUUUUACCUUUUGUAAGCAAAAUAACAACCACAAGUUCAAUUUUUUCUGAUAUUUUCAGUGUUAAAUAUAAUGUAAUAAAAUGAUGUCCUAAGUUUAAAUUCAUUUCACAUGUGUACAUUUUAAGCUUUUUUAGUGCAUCUUAUUAAUUAUUAAAUUGAUAUACUAUUAAUUCAAGGGAUGAUGGUUGUUAUAUAUCAUGGAAAAAGAUUAUAUUUGAUGUUAAUAAACUGAUAUAUAAAUAUUAGUGUACACUUUGAAAUCUUGUCACCAAUAGUGGGGCCCACACAUUUACUUAGUUGUUAAUCUUACAUGUCACUUUUUAUUUUGAUUUUUAAAUAUUUUGUAAAAUAUUCAUAUGUCUUUGUUAUUGUGAUAUGCCUUCUGAAAUGGCUGCGUUUGUGAUGGUCCAAAUUUGCAGGCAUUUCAGAUGACCUUCAUCCCAGUGGCGUAUGACGGACAUUUUCAAAAAGGCUGCCAAGCUAUCGGAUUUGUCUUGAUGGAGUCCAUGUGGGAUGAAAUUUGCAUACACUUUGUACAUUUUAUUAUUAUUUGAUAUUGUGAUACAAGGUUGAUUUUAACAGUUUCUAUAUAUUUUUUUUGUUUUAUUAUAAACAGUAUUGUAUUGUCAAUUCAUGACAUUUAGCUUACUCUGUAAUGUUUAUUAUGUCAAUUCUAUUUGUAUGAAAUAAACUUUAAAAAGCA